RNAcentral lists this ribosomal RNA (443 nucleotides) under uncultured bacterium. RNAcentral describes it as "partial 16S ribosomal RNA". It matches the Rfam family "Bacterial small subunit ribosomal RNA", at positions 338 to 795 of the family's 1533-position model. The record is from RNAcentral.
CCUACGGGAGGCAGCAGUGGGGAAUAUUGGGCAAUGGGCGCAACCCUGACCCAGCAACGCCGCGUGAGGGAAGAAGGCUUUCGGGUUGUAAACUUCUUUUCUCAGGGACGAAGAAAGUGACGGUACCUGAGCAAUAAGCCACGGCUAACUACGUGCCAGCAGCCGCGGUAAUACGGAGGUGGCAAGCGUUAUCCGGAUUUAGUGGGUGUAAAGGGCGUGUAGGCGGGAGCGCAAGUCAGAUGUGAAAACUCAGGGCUCAACCCUGAGCCUGCAUUUGAAACUGUGUUUCUUGAGUGCUGGAGAGGCAAGCGGAAUUCCGUGUGUAGCGGUGAAAUGCGUAGAUAUACGGAGGAACACCAGUGGCGAAGGCGGAUUGCUGGACAGUAACUGACGCUGAGGCGCGAAAGCGUGGGGAGCAAACAGGAUUAGAUACCCGGGUAGUC